CAGAUGGGGAGGCGGCUAGGGUUCUACCUGCUGCUGGCGGAAGUAACAGGGUUUGAAGGAGCGGCAGAUGUGGGCAUGGUUGCGGUUGGGGAAGGCUCGCCGGCUGGGGGACGGCGAGCAUCGGUGAGCGCAACGAAAGGAAGCCAGGCAUCGGCGUACGACAAUGAUUUGGGCGCCUGCGGCAUGACGGCGAGUCGCCGCCGAACGCUCAGCGAUGGGGCGAGUUGGUUAAGGCAUCAGUGGCACCUUUGCUCGUCGCCAAGGAUGGCACGUGCGCGAUCUGAAGUACGAUGCCGGCCAACUUUGGCCUCCGAGGCUUCCCUGACACCCUCCUCUACCACUACCUCAAUAAAAAUGUCUUCAAAGGAUUAGGGCUUAGGGCAACUCGAUGGCAGCCAGUCGGAGUUUGCUAAUUUGCAUAUGCAAGUCCUUUUGAAAUAUGAAACUUCUGUGUGGUGAUGAGGUUCUGCUCAUCUUGCUUCUGCUCAUCUUGAUUGAUUCAUCUCCAGUGAAGGGGUGUGCCUUUUGAUGCAUUCAUUUUCUCUUUCAUACAUGGUGUUCAUCUUUGUUUUGGAGAACAUCACCCUUGCUGAUGUUCACCUUAUCUAUGUAUGCAGGGGGCUUGUCCUUCCAUGGUGCUCAGCCACGGACAGAUUUGGAGGGAAAUAGGAGAUCCUGACGAAAAUGAGCAUGCUAGCGGUGGAUCCAAGGAUGCGUGGUGAUUGUGCCAGGUUUGUGCUCUGGCUCUUCUGUUGGGUUUUUCCAUGGUUGUAUAUGGCAUAUUAGCGUUAUUAGGAGCUGUGGUUCUGGAUUUUUUCGCUGCUCUAUAGAUCUAUUAUUUGAAGAACUGAUGAUAUACAGUGAGUUGCCUUGCACCAUUAUUUGGCCUUUCAAGCGCUUGAUUUGAAUUUUUUAAUGUAUUCAAAGUGUCCCUACUUCCUAACAAGCCACCCAUUUGUCAUGUGUAUGUGUUGUCAUCACAAAGUUGUUUGCUGCCCACCCGAAAAGCGCUCACCGAGCCAAUCACGUGGAGGUGCUUGUCAAGUAUGGGUGGAAAGCUUGACAAGUCGUUUUAUCUCUAUGAUCUCCUCAUGACCACAACCGUAGUGCAGGAUGCUGCUGCCCAAGUUGUCGUUUAUCUUUGGGUAUUCCUUAAUGUUGGGGCUACUACAUAUCCAGAUCACUAGAUGAUACAAAGUACAGAAUCGAAGCUUCAUCAAAUCUAUCUGGGCGUUCAUUGCGUAAUACAAUGUUGAGAUUGAGAACAUUUUCAUAGGGGAACUUAAGAACUAGGAGGGUGCAGAUAAGUAAGAGUUGUUGGCAGCAGCAACCUACACAUGUGGAAACAGUGGCUAUGGCGGUUCAAAGGGAAGUUGUGGCUGCUAGACAGCAACUCACAACUUAGUGGCGGCUCAAAGGACAUAUAAUCUAUUUCUUCUUGGAGCUAUCUACUAUCAUAUUAUGACUCAUUGCUAGCUGAAGCUUCUAUUUUCUCGCCUUUUGUGGUGGCGAUUAUUCCUUGGACUGCAGUAAUUCCAUUUGAUAUUCCUCAUGUUGCAACCUUUUCCCGUAGAAUCAAAAGGAAUUAGAUGGAAAAAAUUGCAGGAGAGAAGGAAUGGUAUUCUCGGCUGACAUUCAAAAGCAGUCAAGAUGGUGAAGUUUAGAAUGGUGGAGCUCCGCGGAAUUAUGGAUAAAAAAUAUCCAUAACAUGUCUGUCAUUGCUCAUGUCGACCAUGAGAAGGAAUGGUAUUCUCGGUUGACAUUCAAAAGCAGUCAAGAUGGUGAAGUUUAGAACGGAGGAGCUCCACGGAAUUAUGGAUAAAAAAUAUCCAUAACAUGUCUGUCAUUGCUCAUGUCGACCAUGGCCAGUUUUACAUUUACUUCUUCGAUAAGGAGAUGACCAUGAACAGAGUAUCAUGGUAUUUGCCUUGGCAUUACUGAUGUUGUGUUCAGAUUACUGAAGGAUUGGUAGCCGCAAAGGAGUGAAGGGUAGAAAAUAUGUCCAUUGUCAUUGAAUUGGUGGGAUUGUCCCCAAGUUAGUGUUGCAGAUGUUUCUAUUUUAGAGCAAGAAGCCAAAUCAUGCUGUUCAUUGUAAAUCUUGAAAAGCUUGUUUAUUGUCACUUCUAUAUCUGUUGUAAAUGUUUAUUCAUGAUGUGGUACUUGUCAA
Molecule: long non-coding RNA, 2167 nt
Organism: Triticum dicoccoides
Lineage: Eukaryota; Viridiplantae; Streptophyta; Magnoliopsida; Poales; Poaceae
Exons: 10
Source: RefSeq, a predicted model, not a curated record